ACGCUGGCGGCGUGCCUAACACAUGCAAGUCGAGCGAUGAAACCCUUCGGGGUGGAUUAGCGGCGGACGGGUGAGUAACACGUGGGUAACCUGCCUCAUAGAGGGGGAUAGCCUCCCGAAAGGGAGAUUAAUACCGCAUAAUGUACUUUGUUCGCAUGAAUAAAAUAUCAAAGGAGUAAUCCACUAUGAGAUGGACCCGCGGCGCAUUAGCUAGUUGGUGAGGUAACGGCUCACCAAGGCGACGAUGCGUAGCCGACCUGAGAGGGUGAUCGGCCACAUUGGAACUGAGACACGGUCCAGACUCCUACGGGAGGCAGCAGUGGGGAAUAUUGCGCAAUGGGGGAAACCCUGACGCCAGCAACGCCGCGUGAAUGAUGAAGGCCUUAGGGUUGUAAAGUUCUGUCUUCUGGGACGAUAAUGACGGUACCAGAGGAGGAAGCCACGGCUAACUACGUGCCAGCCGCCGC
This 467-nucleotide ribosomal RNA is filed under the name uncultured bacterium. Its description in RNAcentral is "bacterial SSU rRNA". It matches the Rfam family "Bacterial small subunit ribosomal RNA", at positions 33 to 518 of the family's 1533-position model. The record is from RNAcentral.